Long non-coding RNA from Myotis myotis, 1454 nucleotides. RefSeq lists it as uncharacterized. The record is from RefSeq and is a predicted model, not a curated record. The transcript has 2 exons. NCBI's taxonomy places the organism in Eukaryota, Metazoa, Chordata, Mammalia, Chiroptera, Vespertilionidae.
GUUCCUCACACACACGAGGUGACUUUCCCCGCUUGAGGCUAAAGUCCCACCUGGGACGGCUCCACGGCAGACACACAGCAGGUGCUACUAACCAGAGUCAUGAGCAAUGCUUCCGUUGGAAGCACCUUCUCCGGGCAAGGCCUGUGCCGAGCCUUGACAAGCGAGGCCUCUCGCCUCCCAACUCUUCAAAACACGCAUUAGCAUGUUCCCUUUUUUAAAAAAUUGCGGUAACAUAUACAGCACAUAAAAGUCACCAUUUUCACCAUUUUGAAGUGCACGCCCAGGUCAGCGGCAUUCACGCUGUCUUGCUACCCUCACUGCGUCCAUCCACGGAACUUUUGAUCUCAGUGCUGCGAACGGUCUGGAUUUGUGUCGUCAGACUCUCUGGGUCCAAAUCCUGGGACAGCUGCCCACACGCCGUGUCACCCUGAGCCGAGGGCUUGUUACCGCUCCUGCCUCUCGCUUUCCCAUUCCUGAGAUUGUGACAGAGCCUGAGUCACCAGGCUGCUGGGAGGCCUGGGCGAGGCAGCGUGCCUGGCAUCAUGAAGCGCUCAGGGCAAGCAGCCUGCGAGUGUUCUGGUGAGGAUCAGAGUGAGCAUCGACUUCCUGGCUUUGAGAUGAGAGACCACGAGUAGCAAGAAGGGUUAUGGUGACGCCAAAGAUGAAGAAACAAAGGCACAGAAACUUGUUCAAGAUUCCAGAGCUGGCGGGUGCUGCAAGCAACAUUUGGACCAAGGCAGCUGGCUCCAGAGUCCACCCUCUUAAACCACCCUGCUUGGCUUCUCUUCUACACAUCCUUUUACUCUGACCUGUGAAGUCACUCCUGAUACGUAUUUCAGGAAUUGCCCUCCUGCUCUGUGUACCCAGAGCCCUUUGCUGGUCCAUAUAGGAUUCCUGUUGUCUUUGAGUGAGGCUUUUAUUAGCCUUCGUCCCCUACCAGUGGGGAGCUUUGUAUGGACUGGGAUUUGGUGCAUCCACCAUUCUCACUUCCAGAUUCUUUCCUGGUGAUUUGAAGCAUUUGUGGGCUAAAAUGAACUGAAACUUAAUUAAUUAGAAGGUCCCAUAAUGAAUAAACUCUUAAAGACAGUCUUGGUAAGAUGCUCCGUAAAAGAUUUAACUUAAGCUUCCAAAUGUAGAUACUUCUCCAUUCAAGGGCUGGUUGUUUGAGGUUUUUUCAACCUCCUGCUUUUCCUUCCAUUUCUUCUGAACUUUUAGACAUUCCAUAAUUUGAGAGAAUCACCAUGAGGAGAUAGAGGAUGAGGAAAAGCAUGUUGAGAUCAUAGCAGUUCUGUCUCUUACCAGUUCAGUGACUUUAGGAAAGUCAUUUGAGCUUCUGGAAUCUGUUUCUUCAGCCAUAAAGUGGGGUCAUUAUCAUACUUAGUGACCUGGUACUGCAUGGAAAGCAGCUGAUCCAGGGCUUGGCUAAUAAUAAAAGCUGCAUAAUUUUCUUUUUC